CCGUCCGUCGCCCAGUGGAGCAGGGCGCCUGCGUCCGAAGCAGGAGGUCGUGGGUUCGAUUCCCGCCGGACGGUCCA
RNAcentral lists this transfer RNA (77 nucleotides) under Burkholderia territorii. RNAcentral's name for it is "tRNA-Arg". It matches the Rfam family "tRNA". Rfam says of the family: Transfer RNA (tRNA) molecules are approximately 80 nucleotides in length. Their secondary structure includes four short double-helical elements and three loops (D, anti-codon, and T loops). Lineage: Bacteria; Pseudomonadati; Pseudomonadota; Betaproteobacteria; Burkholderiales; Burkholderiaceae. The record is from RNAcentral.